GUAACAGACUAGAAGUGGGCUGCAUGUGGACUGGUAAGAGAAGAGUUAGAAUAAGAAAAAUAAAAAUGACAUUAAGAGGACCAGCUUUGGAAAUGGACAUGGGUGGUGACGUUUAACAGAAGUGGAGAGAAAUGGGCAGGUGCUGCCCAGGAAAGAAGGGAGUCUGGUUCAACACAGCUUCAACUGCAGAGCUCCCAGGAAGGAUGAGAGAGAGUGGAAGUCUCAGCUCAGAGGCACACAUGUGAUCCUUCCGAACAGACUGUCUUAUUUGUCCUAUCCUCAGCACAAGCCCACAGCCCUCAGUGAUUUCUUCAGCAGAUAAGUGCGUCUCUCACUCUGCAGCAAAGAAGCCUCUCUAUUCUGCAAGCAGAGACCACUACAGAACACCACAACUGGUCAAAAUAAAGAGAACAGCUGAUCAUGGGUUGCCCAGCCUCAAAGGAUAUGCCAAUAAUACAUUGCAAUUCCUGUAUCUGAAGCUCAGGGAACCUUGUGGAAGAGGAGGUGGAAAGAUAAGAUUGUGAGGACCAGAGUACCAGGCAACCUGUUGUGACAUUGUGACUCCUAGAAAAGACUGGGAUAUUUCAAUCAUGACACCUGAACAAUAUGGCUGCCUACAAAAGACCUGAACAAAGACAGGGACACAAAUGGAUGGAGCGGUGAGGGAGAAGAGAACACCUUCCAAGCCCUCCAGAUCACUGAAUCAACCCUGGCAAUCAAUGGUGUGGAAGGUGUUUCAGCUAGAUUGCCUUCAUAUACUCUAUAAUAUCCCUUUUAAGUUUUCAGUAACCUCCAGCGUUUGGCCCUCAGCUUCAAGACAGCGUGGACAGCCUAUCAGACUGACGGUGAUGCUGGAGGAGAGGAUGCUCUGGGUUGGUUGGAAUAUGCCUUUCUCUGCCUGAAGACAAACCUUAGAAACCAACCACCUACUCAUCUUCUCUAUAAACCGAUGGACAACGAAGGACAAAGAAACACAAGCUGGGUAAACUGAGGGAAGAAUCACCAAUCCAGCUGUGAAUAAAGGUGUCAUACAGAGGAACUGAACAGCCCAGAGCACAUGCAAGCAGUUUACUGAGCAAGUCUACAGAUACUGAUACUCAAGUGCACUAGGAAGCAUUUUGGCAUCAAAAGCCAGGACUAGUAGGUGGAAUAGGAAAGA
This is a long non-coding RNA of Peromyscus eremicus (cactus mouse), 1159 nucleotides long. RefSeq lists it as uncharacterized. The record is from RefSeq and is a predicted model, not a curated record. NCBI's taxonomy places the organism in Eukaryota, Metazoa, Chordata, Mammalia, Rodentia, Cricetidae. The transcript has 5 exons.